RNAcentral lists this ribosomal RNA (707 nucleotides) under uncultured Providencia sp. Its description in RNAcentral is "bacterial SSU rRNA". It matches the Rfam family "Bacterial small subunit ribosomal RNA", at positions 796 to 1502 of the family's 1533-position model. The record is from RNAcentral. Lineage: Bacteria; Pseudomonadati; Pseudomonadota; Gammaproteobacteria; Enterobacterales; Morganellaceae.
CACGCUGUAAACGAUGUCGAUUUGGAGGUUGUUCCCUUGAGGAGUGGCUUCCGGAGCUAACGCGUUAAAUCGACCGCCUGGGGAGUACGGCCGCAAGGUUAAAACUCAAAUGAAUUGACGGGGGCCCGCACAAGCGGUGGAGCAUGUGGUUUAAUUCGAUGCAACGCGAAGAACCUUACCUACUCUUGACAUCCAGAGAGUUUAGCAGAGAUGCUUUAGUGCCUUCGGGAACUCUGAGACAGGUGCUGCAUGGCUGUCGUCAGCUCGUGUUGUGAAAUGUUGGGUUAAGUCCCGCAACGAGCGCAACCCUUAUCCUUUGUUGCCAGCACGUUAUGGUGGGAACUCAAAGGAGACUGCCGGUGAUAAACCGGAGGAAGGUGGGGAUGACGUCAAGUCAUCAUGGCCCUUACGAGUAGGGCUACACACGUGCUACAAUGGCGUAUACAAAGAGAAGCGACCUCGCGAGAGCAAGCGGAACUCAUAAAGUACGUCGUAGUCCGGAUUGGAGUCUGCAACUCGACUCCAUGAAGUCGGAAUCGCUAGUAAUCGUAGAUCAGAAUGCUACGGUGAAUACGUUCCCGGGCCUUGUACACACCGCCCGUCACACCAUGGGAGUGGGUUGCAAAAGAAGUAGGUAGCUUAACCUUCGGGAGGGCGCUUACCACUUUGUGAUUCAUGACUGGGGUGAAGUCGUAACAAGGUAACCA